Molecule: ribosomal RNA, 305 nt
Filed under: uncultured bacterium
Lineage: Bacteria
Description: bacterial SSU rRNA
Rfam family: Bacterial small subunit ribosomal RNA
Source: RNAcentral
UGAACCUACGGGAGGCAGCAGUGGGGAAUAUUGGGCAAUGGGGGAAACCCUGAUGCAGCGACGCCGCGUGGGUGAAGAAGCGCCUCGGCGCGUAAAGCCCUGUCAGCAGGGAAGAAAAUGACGGUACCUGAAGAAGAAGCCCCGGCUAACUACGUGCCAGCAGCCGCGGUAAUACGUAGGGGGCAAGCGUUAUCCGGAUUUACUGGGUGUAAAGGGGGCGCAGACGGCGAUGCAAGCCAGGAGUGAAAGCCCGGGGCCCAACCCCGGGACUGCUCUUGGAACUGCGUGGCUAGAGUGCAGGAGGG